GGAAGCAGCUUGCUGCUUCGCUGACGAGUGGCGGACGGGUGAGUAAUGUCUGGGAAACUGCCUGAUGGAGGGGGAUAACUACUGGAAACGGUGGCUAAUACCGCAUAACGUCGCAAGACCAAAGAGGGGGACCUUCGGGCCUCUUGCCAUCAGAUGUGCCCAGAUGGGAUUAGCUUGUUGGUGAGGUAACGGCUCACCAAGGCGACGAUCCCUAGCUGGUCUGAGAGGAUGACCAGCCACACUGGAACUGAGACACGGUCCAGACUCCUACGGGAGGCAGCAGUGGGGAAUAUUGCACAAUGGGCGCAAGCCUGAUGCAGCCAUGCCGCGUGUAUGAAGAAGGCCUUCGGGUUGUAAAGUACUU
RNAcentral lists this ribosomal RNA (364 nucleotides) under Salmonella enterica. Its description in RNAcentral is "partial 16S ribosomal RNA". It matches the Rfam family "Bacterial small subunit ribosomal RNA", at positions 71 to 435 of the family's 1533-position model. Lineage: Bacteria; Pseudomonadati; Pseudomonadota; Gammaproteobacteria; Enterobacterales; Enterobacteriaceae. The record is from RNAcentral. RNAcentral also lists the same sequence under 3 other names.